GCCCGACGCGGGGCUCGAACUCACAAACCUCGAGAUCACGACCUGAGCCGAAGUCAGACACUUCACCGACUGAACCACCCAGGCGCCCCAAGAAGUGAGCGACUUAGAUAUACGGCAGUGGGCUAGGACCAAAUUUCAGUAUGGCUUCUCUGACCAGCGCUCAGUAAACAUUUACUGACUGGUACUGCUCAAACAAUCGUCCUCUGAAGAAAGGGGGCUGACCUAGGAAUUCAGCAGCACUGCCCACAGAUGUCGGUGGGUCGGGCCCGGAGGCGGAUCUCAUGAGCAUGACCUGAAGGUAACGGACUCUUUUACAAAGUCCCCAGAAACAGGCUGGGUUUGGAUUUGAGGGUACGGG
Long non-coding RNA from Herpailurus yagouaroundi (jaguarundi), 358 nucleotides. RefSeq lists it as uncharacterized. The transcript is spliced from 4 exons. The record is from RefSeq and is a predicted model, not a curated record. NCBI's taxonomy places the organism in Eukaryota, Metazoa, Chordata, Mammalia, Carnivora, Felidae.